CCGGCUCGGUCCAUGCUUAGCUGUGGUUUUAGGCUUAGUCCCUGGUUCAGGUGUGAGCUUGGCUCCAGGCUUAGAGACAGGUUUCUUAGUUGGUUUCACUGUUUUGGCCACUGGUUUUGGUGUGGGCUUGGAUUUCACCUUGGUACCAGGUUUAAGGGUUGGUUUAGCCUUGGUACCAGGUUUAGGGGUUGGUUUAGCCUUGGUACCAGGUUUAGGGGUUGGUUUAGCCUUGGUACCAGGUUUAGGGGUUGGUUUAGCCUUGGUACCAGGCUUAGGGGUUGGUUUAGCCUUGAUACCAGGUUUAGGUAUGGGUCUGACUCCAGGCUUGGCUGUAGGCUUACGUGGUGGAGGCUUCACU
Long non-coding RNA from Oncorhynchus keta (chum salmon), 358 nucleotides. RefSeq lists it as uncharacterized. The record is from RefSeq and is a predicted model, not a curated record. NCBI's taxonomy places the organism in Eukaryota, Metazoa, Chordata, Actinopteri, Salmoniformes, Salmonidae. The transcript has 3 exons.